RNAcentral lists this ribosomal RNA (254 nucleotides) under uncultured bacterium. RNAcentral describes it as "partial 16S ribosomal RNA". It matches the Rfam family "Bacterial small subunit ribosomal RNA", at positions 524 to 776 of the family's 1533-position model. The record is from RNAcentral.
UACGGGGGGAGCAAGCGUUGUUCGGAUUUACUGGGCGUAAAGGGCGCGUAGGCGGCCAGCGCAAGUCAGUUGUGAAAUCUCCGGGCUUAACUCGGAAAGGUCAACUGAUACUGCGCGGCUAGAGUGCAGAAGGGGCAACUGGAAUUCUCGGUGUAGCGGUGAAAUGCGUAGAUAUCUGGAGGAACACCGGUGGCGAAGGCGGCAUCCUGGACCGGUAUUGACGCUGAGGCGCGAAAGCCAGGGGAGCAAACGGG